Myotis davidii is the source of this 91-nucleotide long non-coding RNA. RefSeq lists it as uncharacterized. The transcript has 3 exons. The record is from RefSeq and is a predicted model, not a curated record. NCBI's taxonomy places the organism in Eukaryota, Metazoa, Chordata, Mammalia, Chiroptera, Vespertilionidae.
AGUGAGCCAAGGUGGGGCUCUGUUAGCUCCAUGGAAAGUCAGAGAAAAAGGAGGCCCUGGAGACAGGCUCAGGGUUUUAGCUUGGGAAGAG